This 79-nucleotide non-coding RNA is filed under the name Pseudomonas oryzihabitans. RNAcentral also lists the same sequence under 2 other names. The record is from RNAcentral. Lineage: Bacteria; Pseudomonadati; Pseudomonadota; Gammaproteobacteria; Pseudomonadales; Pseudomonadaceae.
UUGAGCCGUGUGCUGCGAAAGUCGCAAGCACGGUUCUUAGGGGGCCCCGGGUCAGAUAAUGACUCCGGGGCCACCCGAC